Molecule: ribosomal RNA, 1110 nt
Filed under: Oceanimonas baumannii
Lineage: Bacteria; Pseudomonadati; Pseudomonadota; Gammaproteobacteria; Aeromonadales; Aeromonadaceae
Description: bacterial SSU rRNA
Rfam family: Bacterial small subunit ribosomal RNA
Source: RNAcentral
GGGGGCAGCCUACCAUGCAGUCGAGCGGUAACAGAAAGUAACUUGGUACUUUGCUGACAAGCGGCGGACGGGUGAGUAAAGCGUGGGGAUCUGCCCGGUCGAGGGGGAUAACCGUUGUAAACGACGGCUAAUACCGCAUACGCCCUACGGGGGAAAGCAGGGGACCUUCUGGCCUUGUGCGAUUGUGUGAACCCAAGUGAGAUUAUCUUGUUGGUGAGGUAACGGCUCACCAAGGCGACAAUCUCUAUCUGGGCUGAGAGGAUGACCAGUCACACUGGGACUGAGACACGGCCCACACUCCUACGGGAGGCGGCACUGGGGAAUAUUGUGCAAUGGGGGAAACCCUGAUGCACCCCUGCCCCGUGUGUGAAAAAAGCCUUCUGGUUGUAAAGCACUUUCUCUGGUGAGGAAAGGAGGUUGUCUAAUACCUGACCUCUGUGACAUUAACCACACAAAAAACACCGGCUAACUCCGUGCCACCACCCCCGGUAAUACAGAGGGUGCAAGCGUUAAUCUCAAUAACUGGGCGUAAAGCGCACGCACGCGGUUUGUUAAACCACAUGUGAAAACCCCGGGCUCAACCCGGGAACUGCAUUUGUAACUGGGAGACUAUAGUCUUGUAGAGGGGGGUAUAAUUUCCGGUGUAUCGCUGAAAUGCGUAUAGAUCUCAAAGAAUACCACUGUCGAAAGCGGCCCCCUGUGCAAAGACUGACACUCACGUGCGAAAGCGUGUGGAGCAAACACGAUUAUAUACACUGUUAUUCCACACCGUAUACAAUGUCAACUUGUAGUCUGUGCCAUUUGAGCGCGCGUUCCGGAGCUAACACGUUAUGUUGACCGCCUGUGGAGUACAGGCGCAAGGUGAAAACUCAAAUGAAUUGACAGGGGCCCGCACAAGCGCUGGAGCAUGUGGUUUAUUUCUAUGCAACGCGAAAAAACUCAUCUACACUUGACAUACACCGAACUUGUGAGAGAUGCCUUGUUGCCUUCUGGAACACUGAUACACGUGCUGCAUGUCUGUCUUCUCUCUCGUCUCGAGAUGUGGGGUUAAAUCUCGCAACAAAGCGCAACACCUUGUCCUCUUUUUGCCACCGGGGUGAUGAUCCCGGA